Long non-coding RNA from Rana temporaria (common frog), 439 nucleotides. RefSeq lists it as uncharacterized. The transcript has 2 exons. The record is from RefSeq and is a predicted model, not a curated record. NCBI's taxonomy places the organism in Eukaryota, Metazoa, Chordata, Amphibia, Anura, Ranidae.
UUACUGUGUUCCCGAAAAACAAUACACUGAUCUAUGUUUAAAGUCCAAUUCUAUAUUAUUUACAGAAUAUUUCCCCACGUCUGGCUGGCUUGAUAUAGUCUGUCCGCCCAGCCAUUGUGGGGCUAACACGCUAUUGUCGCUUGUCUACCCCCAAUGCGACCUAUUUUUUAGAUGCAAUAUCUUAUGCUCCUGAGGAAGCGCUAAGCGCGUAACAUGUAGAGCAAGCUCUUCACCAAAUCUUUGGAAUACUACACUGGAUAUGCAACUCAACAUUGUACCUGUAACUGUGCUUUCUAAAUGAAGCCUAUAUAUGAUAUGAUUGUAUAGUGUUGUAAUCACAGUUGUGGUAUUAGUUGCUGACCUAAUUUCGUUAAUUUCUUUGAUUUUAUGUCAUUCCACUUUUAUGAUAUUUCAUACUAAAUAAACUUUUAGUUUUCUA